GACGAACGCUGGCGGCGUGCUUAACACAUGCAAGUCGAACGGAAAGGCCCUGCUUGCAGGGUACUCGAGUGGCGAACGGGUGAGUAACACGUGGGUGAUCUGCCCUGCACUUCGGGAUAAGCCUGGGAACUGGGGUUAAUUCCGGGUAGGGGCCCUUUUUUGGGGGGUUGGUGGGAAGGUUUUUCGGUGUAGGAAUAGCUCGCGGCCUAUCAGCCUGUUGGUGGGGUAAUGGCCUACCAAGGCGGCGACGGGUAGCCGGCCUGAGAGGGUGGACGGCCACAUUGGGACUGAGAUACGGCCCAGACUCCUACGGGAGGCAGCAGUGGGGAAUAUUGCACAAUGGGCGCAAGCCUGAUGCAGCGACGCCGCGUGGGGGAUGACGGCCUUCGGGUUGUAAACUCCUUUCGCUAGGGACGAAGCUUUUUGUGACGGUACCUAGAUAAGAAGCACCGGCUAACUACGUG
RNAcentral lists this ribosomal RNA (464 nucleotides) under uncultured bacterium. RNAcentral describes it as "partial 16S ribosomal RNA". It matches the Rfam family "Bacterial small subunit ribosomal RNA", at positions 28 to 507 of the family's 1533-position model. The record is from RNAcentral.